Long non-coding RNA from Pseudopipra pipra, 1100 nucleotides. RefSeq lists it as uncharacterized. The transcript is spliced from 2 exons. Lineage: Eukaryota; Metazoa; Chordata; Aves; Passeriformes; Pipridae. The record is from RefSeq and is a predicted model, not a curated record.
AUCUUUGCCGUUCCCUUCAGGUUUUGCCGUUUCUUAAUAAAACAGUCACCAGGGGGAAGAGCACAGGGAAGUAGCAGCUUUCUGAAUUUCUCCAUCAAUGUGUACAGUUAUGUUUGGAGAGAUCUGUGAAGCGCAGUGCGGCAGAGGGCCUCCCCCAAGCUCCUGAGGUAAAUGGAUUUUUUUAAUGGGGCUUCCUCAUAUUGACAAGCAAUUUUUCAUUAACUUGGCCAACUCUAAAUGCAGUGUCUAGCUGUUCUUUGGUAUCUAAGGAAGGAGGGCUAAUAAGUCUGUGAAACUCAUCUUGUCUAAGAUUUUUUUUUCCUGGGGAGUUUUAGACUCUGUACAUAUAUAUAUAUAUGUACGCAUAUCUGAGUUGCAAACUUAACGAAUUAUGACUCCUGAACUUAACAUUGCUAGUAAAGUUUGGCAUCUCUUAGCCAUUAGCAAAGUACCUCUUGCACUUAACAAAUACCUGGAAAUACAAUUUCCUUUUAACACACGACUUCCAAUGCCUGGGCUAGAAAUGUCAAGCAGGCUGUAUAAAGAUCAGUUUCAGUGAAUGGCUCAAUCAAGUCAUCUUGAAAACUCAUCUGUAAUUUCCUACUCAUAUCCCUCUUCUGUUAUCUUGCCUUAGUGUUCAAGUUCCUCCUUUGCCUUCAGUAUCAUAACCCCAAGUGUAUUCUAUGCAACUUUCCACACCACCAUUUCUUUACAGCUGCUAAUUAAUGAUCCCUCUGAAUAAAGCCCUCUGCUUGAACAGUUGGAGUGCCCCUCUGAAAGGCCCCUUUUGUGGGAGACCAUCUUGUGGAUCACAACAAAGACAAGGCACUUCAGAAAAGAAACUCUUUUACUUUGUAGCCACUUCUCUGUCUCAAAUUAAUUAGCACUGCUCUGUUUUCAAGUGUAAUAACACUCUGGAGAGGUGAAUGGAACCUUUCAGGGAGUAAACUACAGCACACCCUCCCACCAGCCUUGAGCAACAAAGCAGACUAUAAAGAGUGGUCAUAAGAGGUGAUAGCUGAUUAGGAGUGAGGUGGAACUCAGGUGACUGGAACUGUAAUUCACACACACCACACACACCCCAACCUCCUAAAGUAUUA